AACAGAGUUUGAUCCUGGCUCAGAUUGAACGCUGGCGGCAGGCCUAACACAUGCAAGUCGAGCGGAAACGAGUUAUCUGAACCUUCGGGGGACGAUAACGGCGUCGAGCGGCGGACGGGUGAGUAAUGCCUAGGAAAUUGCCCUGAUGUGGGGGAUAACCAUUGGAAACGAUGGCUAAUACCGCAUAAUGCCUACGGGCCAAAGAGGGGGACCUUCGGGCCUCUCGCGUCAGGAUAUGCCUAGGUGGGAUUAGCUAGUUGGUGAGGUAAUGGCUCACCAAGGCGACGAUCCCUAGCUGGUCUGAGAGGAUGAUCAGCCACACUGGAACUGAGACACGGUCCAGACUCCUACGGGAGGCAGCAGUGGGGAAUAUUGCACAAUGGGCGCAAGCCUGAUGCAGCCAUGCCGCGUGUGUGAAGAAGGCCUUCGGGUUGUAAAGCACUUUCAGUCGUGAGGAAGGUAGUGUAGUUAAUAGCUGCAUUAUUUGACGUUAGCGACAGAAGAAGCACCGGCUAACUCCGUGCCAGCAGCCGCGGUAAUACGGAGGGUGCGAGCGUUAAUCGGAAUUACUGGGCGUAUAGCGCAUGCAGGUGGUUUGUUAAGUCAGAUGUGAAGCCCGGGGCUCAACCUCGGAAUAGCAUUUGAAACUGGCAGGCUAGAGUACUGUAGAGGGGGGUAGAAUUUCAGGUGUAGCGGUGAAAUGCGUAGAGAUCUGAAGGAAUACCGGUGGCGAAGGCGGCCCCCUGGACAGAUACUGACACUCAGAUGCGAAAGCGUGGGGAGCAAACAGGAUUAGAUACCCUGGUAGUCCACGCCGUAAACGAUGUCUACUUGGAGGUUGUGGCCUUGAGCCGUGGCUUUCGGAGCUAACGCGUUAAGUAGACCGCCUGGGGAGUACGGUCGCAAGAUUAAAACUCAAAUGAAUUGACGGGGGCCCGCACAAGCGGUGGAGCAUGUGGUUUAAUUCGAUGCAACGCGAAGAACCUUACCUACUCUUGACAUCCAGAGAACUUUCCAGAGAUGGAUUGGUGCCUUCGGGAACUCUGAGACAGGUGCUGCAUGGCUGUCGUCAGCUCGUGUUGUGAAAUGUUGGGUUAAGUCCCGCAACGAGCGCAACCCUUAUCCUUGUUUGCCAGCGAGUAAUGUCGGGAACUCCAGGGAGACUGCCGGUGAUAAACCGGAGGAAGGUGGGGACGACGUCAAGUCAUCAUGGCCCUUACGAGUAGGGCUACACACGUGCUACAAUGGCGCAUACAGAGGGCAGCAAGCUAGCGAUAGUGAGCGAAUCCCAAAAAGUGCGUCGUAGUCCGGAUUGGAGUCUGCAACUCGACUCCAUGAAGUCGGAAUCGCUAGUAAUCGUGGAUCAGAAUGCCACGGUGAAUACGUUCCCGGGCCUUGUACACACCGCCCGUCACACCAUGGGAGUGGGCUGCAAAAGAAGUAGGUAGUUUAACCUUCGGGAGGACGCUUACCACUUUGUGGUUCAUGACUGGGGUGAAGUCGUAACAAGGUAGCGCUAGGGGAACCUGGGGCUGGAUCACCUCCUUA
This 1548-nucleotide ribosomal RNA is filed under the name Vibrio coralliilyticus. RNAcentral's name for it is "bacterial SSU rRNA". It matches the Rfam family "Bacterial small subunit ribosomal RNA". The record is from RNAcentral. Lineage: Bacteria; Pseudomonadati; Pseudomonadota; Gammaproteobacteria; Vibrionales; Vibrionaceae.